GACGAACGCUGGCGGCGUGCUUAACACAUGCAAGUCGAACGGAAAGGCCCUGCUUUUGUGGGGUGCUCGAGUGGCGAACGGGUGAGUAACACGUGAGUAACCUGCCCUUGACUUUGGGAUAACUUCAGGAAACUGGGGCUAAUACCGGAUAGGAGCUCCCGCUGCAUGGUGGGGGUUGGAAAGUUUCGGCGGUUGGGGAUGGACUCGCGGCUUAUCAGCUUGUUGGUGGGGUAGUGGCCUACCAAGGCUUUGACGGGUAGCCGGCCUGAGAGGGUGACCGGCCACAUUGGGACUGAGAUACGGCCCAGACUCCUACGGGAGGCAGCAGUGGGGAAUAUUGCACAAUGGGCGGAAGCCUGAUGCAGCAACGCCGCGUGCGGGAUGACGGCCUUCGGGUUGUAAACCGCUUUCGCCUGUGACGAAGCGUGAGUGACGGUAAUGGGUAAAGAAGCACCGGCUAACUACGUGCCAGCAGCCGCGGU
This 482-nucleotide ribosomal RNA is filed under the name uncultured Actinomycetales bacterium. RNAcentral describes it as "bacterial SSU rRNA". It matches the Rfam family "Bacterial small subunit ribosomal RNA", at positions 28 to 521 of the family's 1533-position model. The record is from RNAcentral. Lineage: Bacteria; Bacillati; Actinomycetota; Actinomycetes; Actinomycetales.